RNAcentral lists this ribosomal RNA (301 nucleotides) under uncultured bacterium. RNAcentral describes it as "partial 16S ribosomal RNA". It matches the Rfam family "Bacterial small subunit ribosomal RNA", at positions 509 to 807 of the family's 1533-position model. The record is from RNAcentral.
CAGCCGCCGCGGUAAUACGGAGGGGGCUAGCGUUGCUCGGAAUGACUGGGCGUAAAGGGCGCGUAGGCGGCGGCCAAAGUCAGGCGUGAAAUUCCCGGGCUCAACCUGGGGGCUGCGUUUGAUACUUGGUUGCUUGAGUGGGGAAGAGGGUCGUGGAAUUCCCAGUGUAGAGGUGAAAUUCGUAGAUAUUGGGAAGAACACCGGUGGCGAAGGCGGCGACCUGGUCCUUGACUGACGCUGAGGCGCGAAAGCGUGGGGAGCAAACAGGAUUAGAUACCCGAGUAGUCCCUGUCUCUUAUAC